This 1489-nucleotide ribosomal RNA is filed under the name human gut metagenome. RNAcentral's name for it is "bacterial LSU rRNA". It matches the Rfam family "Bacterial large subunit ribosomal RNA", at positions 492 to 1977 of the family's 2925-position model. The record is from RNAcentral.
GAACCAGUACCGUGAGGGAAAGGUGAAAAGCACUUCGAACAGAAGAGUGAAAUAGUCCCUGAACCCAUACGCCUACAAGCAGUCGGAGCCGCUUCGUGCGGUGACGGCGUGCCUUUUGCAUAAUGAGCCUACGAGUUACUCAUCACCAGCGAGGUUAAGUACUUCAGGUACGUAAGCCGAAGCGAAAGCGAGUCUGAAUAGGGCGUCAAGUUGGUGGUGGUAGACGCGAAACCUUAGUGAUCUACCCAUGGGCAGGGUGAAGGUUUGGUAACACAAACUGGAGGCCCGAACCGGUAAACGUUGAAAAGUUUUCGGAUGACCUGUGGGUAGGGGUGAAAGGCCAAUCAAACUGGGAAAUAGCUCGUACUCUCCGAAAUGCAUUUAGGUGCAGCCUCUGUUGUUUUGUUCUAGAGGUAGAGCUACUGAUUGGAUGCGAGGGCUUCACCGCCUAUCAAAUCCGGCCAAACUCCGAAUGCUAGAACAUGAAGACAGGGAGUGAGCCAGCGGGUGCUAAGGUCCGUUGACGAAAGAGGGAGAACUCAGACCAUCAGCUAAGGUCCCCAAUUAUAUGCUAAGUUGGAAUAAAAACGGGGUGGGACUGCUUAGACAGCUAGGAUGUUGGCUUGGAAGCAGCCAUUCAUUUAAAGAGUGCGUAACAGCUCACUAGUCGAGCGGUCCUGCAUGGAUAAUACGCGGGCAUAAGCAUAUAACCGAAGCUAUGGGAUUGUAGAUGAUACAAUCGGUAGGAGAGCAUUCCAUUCAGCAUAGAAGCAGUAUCGUGAGGUAUUGUGGAGCGGAUGGAAAAGCAAAUGUAGGCAUAAGUAACGAUAAUGCGGGUGAGAACCCCGCACGCCGAAAGAUCAAGGAUUCCCCGGCAAUGUCAAUCAUCCGGGGGUAAGUCGGAUCCUAAGGGUAAGCCGAGUGGCGAUCCCGAUGGCAAACAGGUUAAUAUUCCUGUACUGAUCAUAACUGCGAUGCAGCGACGCAGAGGUGACACUGCUGCGUACUGACGGAAUAGUACGUUGAAACCCGUAUUCUUUGAUACCGGUAGUGAAGCACGCCGGUAGAGAUGAAAGGUGAUAGUACCGCAAUGCUUCGGUUGCGCGGAUAAUGCAGGUAAGCUGACUGCCAAGAAAACCUGCUAAGCUUCAGGUAAUGAUCAUCCGUACUGUAAACGGACACACGUGAUCAGGUAGAAAAUACUAAGGCGCUCGAGAGAUUCAUGGUUAAGGAACUAGGCAAAAUGGUCCUGUAACUUCGGGAUAAAGGACGCUCUUGUGAAAGAGCCGCAGAUAAUAGGCCCAGGCGACUGUUUACCAAAAACACAUGGCUAUGCUAAUUCGCAAGAAGAUGUAUAUGGCCUGACACCUGCCCGGUGCCGGAAGGUUAAGAGGAGAGCUCAGAGGUAACUCGAAGGUUUGAAUUGAAGCCCCGGUAAACGGCGGCCGUAACUAUAACGGUCCUAAGGUAGCGAAAUUCCUUGUCGGGU